RNAcentral lists this ribosomal RNA (253 nucleotides) under uncultured bacterium. RNAcentral's name for it is "partial 16S ribosomal RNA". It matches the Rfam family "Bacterial small subunit ribosomal RNA", at positions 524 to 776 of the family's 1533-position model. The record is from RNAcentral.
GACGUAGGGCGCGAGCGUUGUCCGGAUUUAUUGGGCGUAAAGAGCUCGUAGGCGGCUUGUUGCGUCGACUGUGAAAACCCGCGGCUUAACUGCGGGCUUGCAGUUGAUACGGGCAGGCUAGAGUUCGGUAGGGGAGACUGGAAUUCCUGGUGUAGCGGUGAAAUGCGCAGAUAUCAGGAGGAACACCGGUGGCGAAGGCGGCAUCCUGGACCGAUACUGACGCUGAGGAGCGAAAGCGUGGGGAGCGAACAGG